UUCGGCCUACGGGGCGCAGCAGUGAGGAAUAUUGGUCAAUGGGCGGGAGCCUGAACCAGCCAAGUCGCGUGAGGGAAGACGGUCCUAUGGAUUGUAAACCUCUUUUGUCAGGGAGCAACGCCGGCUACGUGUAGCCGGACUGAGAGUACCUGAAGAAAAAGCAUCGGCUAAAUCCGUGCCAGCAGCCGCGGUAAUACGGAGGAUGCGAGCGUUAUCCGGAUUUAUUGGGUUUAAAGGGUGCGU
RNAcentral lists this ribosomal RNA (243 nucleotides) under uncultured bacterium. Its description in RNAcentral is "partial 16S ribosomal RNA". It matches the Rfam family "Bacterial small subunit ribosomal RNA", at positions 333 to 572 of the family's 1533-position model. The record is from RNAcentral.